Molecule: non-coding RNA, 177 nt
Filed under: Puniceicoccaceae bacterium
Lineage: Bacteria; Pseudomonadati; Verrucomicrobiota; Opitutia; Puniceicoccales; Puniceicoccaceae
Description: 6S RNA
Rfam family: 6S / SsrS RNA
About the family: E. coli 6S RNA was the first non coding RNA to be sequenced, but its function was unknown until recently. It consists of 184 nucleotides that fold into an extended hairpin structure with a large single-stranded internal bulge.
Source: RNAcentral
GUUUCCCUGCAGUGUACGAGAAUUUUCGAAGUUCUGUCCUUUACUCUUUUUUUUAUGGGGCUUGUGUUAAGGUACUGGAUAUCACGCCAGAAAUGGACGAUAGAUGGUAGUUUGCAAAUCCCCACCUUAGCUAUAAAAGGCUAAGAACUUCCACAAUGCGGCACAGGCGGGGUAUUU